UAGUUCUUUUUUAAUGUUGUUAUUUCAACCUUUUCUAUCAUAGGUAUUUCUUUGAAGUGUUCGCAAAGAGAGGGUUUUAGAAGAACAAAGUAUCUUUAAGAUAUGAAUCCCUUGCUCGGGCUUAGUGUCUUAAAAGCGAUAUUAUUCUGGGGAAUAUGUGAUUGUUGUUCCAUCCAAUUUAGAGUUUCUAUACCAAUUUCUUUUGGUUUUUCACUUUUUAUGAGUUUCUCAAUUUGUUUCCUGUGAGGACACAAGUCAAGGAGCCUGGAUAGUCCUUGCCAAAAUAUGUUGUGGGUUUCCUUAAUCUUUGUAGUACACAAAUUUUUUAGUUUCUUUGCUUUAUGUUAUGGGUUACUGGAUUUUCUCGACAUUGGUUGCUUAACAAUUUGGCAGGAGGUGUGUUUUAGAGUGAAGAAUUUCUGGAGGAACUUGCAGCAGCAUGCGCUUGGAUCUGCUAGGAAUACCUCAAACACCUGAAAAUGUUGAACGAAGAAGGGGAGUAAUUUUGUGUUGCAUGAAUUACUCAGGCAAUACCUUGGUAUUGAAAGUUCUUGCAGAGUGCAAGACUGGUCAUGCUUUCUGAGUCAAGCUCUGAUUAAGCUCAUGGCCACUGGAACUAUUGAUCUUAUUCAAUGGGAAGAUAUUUGUUUUAUGCAGAAAUCAAAAUUUCCUUGAAUCACAGAAUCAAAGAGGUGUAAUUGAUUUCAAUUGUUUCUCUAUCAACAUGGCUGCUAAUGUUGUUGUUGGAUUUUCAAGCAAGCAGACGGAUCUAAAUUGUAGAUUACAAAAACAAGAAUAAUAUGUGAAUCUAUGGUAUAGUUCCAGCUGAUACGAUAUUCCGUUAAGCAAGUCUUGAAUUAAUUUCAAGAUGUCCUAAGGAUUUCAAUAGUUAUAACAUUCCUUUGGUGGCGGACAUUCAUUUUGCUCCUAUUGCAUUGCGAGUUGCUGAAUGUUCAAGAUUCGUGUCAACCCUGGGAAUUUCGCUGAUAGACGGGCUCAGUUUGAGCAAUUAGAAUACGCAGAAGAUGACUACCAGCAGGAGCGUGAGCACAUUGAGCAGGAUUCAGAAACACCAAUAUCCAAAUAGCAGCAUCUUUUACAGAUGGGAUGAGAUGAGACGCAACAAAGAAGAGAUUACUGUUGCUUGGGGUGCUAGGGAUGAGCUGAGAUGCAUCAGAUGUAUGAUGCUAUAAACCAAUGGUUAACUGGAAAGCCUUGCACUUGCUUCUUAUGAAGGUAGUGUGAAUGGUUGUUAGUACAUAUCAAGCAUCUAGUGGUGCAGGUGCUACUGCGAUGGAAGAGUUUGAAUUCCAGUUCGUUAUUAAUCUUAUUAAAUCAGUGACCAAGGUCCAAUACUGAACAAGGAAGUAACUCAAUGUUCACUGGUGUACGUCAAUAGAAUUUUGUAUCUCUACUGCAGAAUUGAGUUACUUUCUUUUUCAUAGGUAUACAGAAUAACUCAUGAAUUGCC
Molecule: long non-coding RNA, 1471 nt
Organism: Papaver somniferum (opium poppy)
Lineage: Eukaryota; Viridiplantae; Streptophyta; Magnoliopsida; Ranunculales; Papaveraceae
Exons: 7
Source: RefSeq, a predicted model, not a curated record